Molecule: unclassified non-coding RNA, 209 nt
Filed under: Hevea brasiliensis (rubber tree)
Lineage: Eukaryota; Viridiplantae; Streptophyta; Magnoliopsida; Malpighiales; Euphorbiaceae
Source: RNAcentral
GUUCGUUCAGUCACGAUUAAGUACAACAUUCUGGAACUUCCUAAUUGAACCUACAUUUAGCAUACACCAAAUUCUUUUCCAUCAAAAGCACUCUCUAAAGCAACAUUGAAAAUGUUCCAUAACACCUAAGCCAUAGUUUCUGUCAGUGCAUGUGAAAAUGUUGUCCACUCACUAAAAGACAAAAUUACACCAUAGCAGCUUAUUGAAAA